AAUAAAAAUGUAUAUCUGGUGCUCGCUUUGGCAGCUUACAGAGGAGAUUAGCGUGCCCCCUGCACAAGGAUGACACACAAAUUCAUGAAGCGUUCCAUAUUUGA
Molecule: non-coding RNA, 104 nt
Organism: Myotis davidii
Lineage: Eukaryota; Metazoa; Chordata; Mammalia; Chiroptera; Vespertilionidae
Source: Rfam